Molecule: non-coding RNA, 262 nt
Organism: Cinara cedri
Lineage: Eukaryota; Metazoa; Arthropoda; Insecta; Hemiptera; Aphididae
Source: the annotation of a GenBank genome assembly
CUUCUCGUAUGGGAAAAAAGUAACUACGCGUCGUUAACUAUAUGAACGGAUAAAGCAACCGGAGAAAAAGUAAUGCGUCAAGUUACGGUAUUUAUUGGUACGGGUAUACAUUACAGGUUCGAUGGGAGGCCGACGGGAAAAAAAACUAAACUCUGAAGUUACACGGAAAUUUAAGUUUUUGUAAUUUUUUUUUUGAACCGCACAUAAUAGUUAAUCAUAUCGUAAUGAUGAAUACACAUUAAAUACGAGAAUACUAUUGAAG